RNAcentral lists this long non-coding RNA (588 nucleotides) under Pan troglodytes (chimpanzee). RNAcentral's name for it is "lincRNA". The record is from RNAcentral. Lineage: Eukaryota; Metazoa; Chordata; Mammalia; Primates; Hominidae.
GAACUUCUAGUGUGUAAAACUGUGAGACAACACAUUUCUGUUGUUUAAGACACACAAUCUGUGGUACUUUGAUACAGCAGCCCCGACAAACUAAUACAUGGGGUGUCUCAUUGCAGUUUUCAUCAGUAACACCCAUUAUGAACUGAAAACGUCUGCUACUUUUAAGAUCCAACUUGAAUGCUUCCUGAUUAAAUAUAUACAGGAGUGAUUUCAGAGGAAUUUAAGUUUUGGAUCAUUCUUUUGAGAAAGAAAGAAAAGUACCCUUUUAAAAGAGACUUUCUUCUGCCACUGCCACUCCUGAGACAACAUGACCAAUCUCUCCCCUUCCUCCUCCUCAGCGUACUUUCAACAUAAAGACGACGAGGAUAAAGGCAUUUAUGAUGAACUACUUCCACAUAAUGAAUAAUUGAACAAAGGAGAGAAUUGUGAGAGUGAGAAAAAGUGAGACAAAGAAGAAAAACUAUAAAUCAGCAAAAUACAGUGCCAAGAGCUCUGGACCACAAAUCAGAAGACCUGAGCCCUAAUUCCUUUCCAGUCAUUGGAUUUGUUCGUCGCUUGCCAAAACAGCAGCGAACUCUCUGUCAAACU